CACUGUAGAGCUAAAUUAGCAU
RNAcentral lists this transfer RNA (22 nucleotides) under Hylobates lar (common gibbon). RNAcentral's name for it is "partial tRNA-Lys". The record is from RNAcentral. Lineage: Eukaryota; Metazoa; Chordata; Mammalia; Primates; Hylobatidae.